Molecule: non-coding RNA, 23 nt
Filed under: Arabidopsis thaliana (thale cress)
Lineage: Eukaryota; Viridiplantae; Streptophyta; Magnoliopsida; Brassicales; Brassicaceae
Source: RNAcentral
UGUCGGAAUUUAGCAUAUCUUUA